Molecule: ribosomal RNA, 1290 nt
Filed under: metagenome
Description: bacterial LSU rRNA
Rfam family: Bacterial large subunit ribosomal RNA
Source: RNAcentral
CUUCUCCGCGGGAGCAGAGCGGUGACCGUACCAAAUCUGACACAGGAGGGCGAGGCGAAUAGCCUCAGGCGCGCGAGAGAACCCUACGUGAAGGAACUCGGCAAAUUAACCCCGUAAGUUCGCGAUAAGGGGUGCCCCCCGUAAGGGGGGCCACAGGAAAACGACAGCUACGACUGUUUACUAAAAACACAGGUCUCUGCGAAGUCGUCAAAGACGACGUAUAGGGACUGACGCUUGCCCGCUGUUGGAACGUUAAGGUGACUGGUUAGCCGCAAGGCGAGGCUGGGAACCGAAGCGCCAAUGAAGGGCGGCCGUAACAAUGACGGUCCUAAGGUAGCGAAAUUCCUUGUCGGGUAAGUUCCGACCCGCACGAAUAGCGUAACGACAGCUGUACUGUCUCCACGAGGGACUCGGCGAAAUUGUAGUUGUGGUGAAGAUGCCACAUACCCGCACCAAGACGGAAAGACCCCGUGAACCUUUACUGUAACCUAAUACUGGCUCUAGGUUCGCCAUGUGUAGCAUAGGUGGGAGACGUUAAUGUCGGGGGCGCCAGCCUCCGAAUAGUCUUCAGUGAAAUACCACUCUUGGCGAUCUUGGAGUCUAACCUGCGACCGUUAUCCGGCGUGGGAACAGUGUUAGGCGGGCAGUUUGACUGGGGCGGUCUCCUCCUAAAAGGUAACGGAGGAGUGCAAAGGUACCCUCAAUGCGGUUGGCAAUCGCAUGAAGAGCGUAAAGGUAUAAGGGUGCUUGACUGCGAGACACAUAGGUCGAGCAGGUACGAAAGUAGGUCUUAGUGAUCCGGUGGUCCCGUGUGGAAGGGCCAUCGCUCAUCAGAUAAAAGGUACUCCGGGGAUAACAGGCUGAUCACGCCCAAGAGUCCAUAUCGACGGCGUGGUUUGGCACCUCGAUGUCGGCUCAUCGCAUCCUGGGGCUGAAGGCGGUCCCAAGGGUUGGUCUGUUCGCCCAUUAAAGCGGUACGUGAGCUGGGUUUAGACCGUCGUGAGACAGGUCGGUCCCUAUCUGGUGUGGGCGCAGGAUGAUUGCGGAGACUCUUUCCUAGUACGAGAGGAUUGGAAAGAACGGACCUCUGGUGUGCCAGUUGUCGCGCUAGCGGCAUCGCUGGAUAGCUAUGUCCGGGCUGGAUAAGCGCUGAAAGCAUCUAAGUGCGAAGCCAACUCCAAGACUGGUCAUCCCAUGAGACACCUGGUAGACCACCAGGUUGAUAGGCCGGAAGUGUAAGGACAGCAAUGUUCUCAGCUAACCGGUACUAACCAGUCGAUCGGCUUGAUC